This 240-nucleotide long non-coding RNA is filed under the name Mytilus galloprovincialis (Mediterranean mussel). The record is from RNAcentral. Lineage: Eukaryota; Metazoa; Mollusca; Bivalvia; Mytilida; Mytilidae.
AAAUGUGUCGAGUCGUAUUUGUCGCAAAGUCGAGGUCGCGAUAAACAAAGAUGUUAAAUCAGUGUUUACCUUUAGCUAAAUAUAGUUCACGUGAAUUCAGGUCACUGAUUGGUCAUCUAUUUAAAGUCAGAAAACAUCGUAUUUGUGCAACGAUAACAAGAGAGAUGUUCCGAAGGUUAUAGACAAUAUGAAGCGAUGACAAACCCUGUUCAGUUUUGGCUUCAAGAAAUCGAAGAAAGU